GAAUCCCGUCUUUGACACGGACUGCCUGUACAUUAUGGUGUGCUCUCGAAGAGUCGAGUUGUUUGGGAAUGCAGCUCAAAAUGGGUGGUAAAUGCCAUCUAAAGCUAAAUAUUGGCGAGAGACCGAUAGCGAACAAGUACCGUGAGGGAAAGAUGAAAAGAACUUUGGAAAGAGAGUUAAACAGUACGUGAAAUUGCUGAAGGGGAAACGCUUGAAGUCAGUCGCGUUGGCUAGAAAUCAACCUUGCUUUUGCUUUGUGUACUUUCUGGUUGACGGGUCAGCAUCAAUUUUGACCACUGGAUAAAGUCUUUGGGAAUGUGGCAUCUUCGGAUGUGUUAUAGCCCAUUGUCGCAUACGGUGGUUGGGAUUGAGGAACUCAGCACGCCGCAAGGCCGGGUUUCGACCACGUUCGUGCUUAGGAUGCUGGCAUAAUGGCUUUAAUCGACCCGUCUUGAAACACGGACCAAGGAGUCUAACAUGCCUGCGAGUGUUUGGGUGGAAAAACCCAUGCGCGCAAUGAAAGUGAAAGUUGAGAUCCUCUUCAAAGGGGGAGCAUUGACGCCCGGACCAGACCUUUUGUGACGGAUCCGCGGUAGAGCAUGCAUGUUGGGACCCGAAAGAUGGUGAACUAUGCCUGAAUAGGGUGAAGCCAGAGGAAACUCUGGUGGAGGCUCGUAGCGAUUCUGACGUGCAAAUCGAUCGUCAAAUUUGGGUAUAGGGGCGAAAGACUAAUCGAACCAUCUAGUAGCUGGUUCCUGCC
RNAcentral lists this ribosomal RNA (760 nucleotides) under uncultured Inocybe. Its description in RNAcentral is "eukaryotic LSU rRNA". It matches the Rfam family "Eukaryotic large subunit ribosomal RNA", at positions 216 to 962 of the family's 3401-position model. The record is from RNAcentral. Lineage: Eukaryota; Fungi; Basidiomycota; Agaricomycetes; Agaricales; Cortinariaceae.